RNAcentral lists this ribosomal RNA (906 nucleotides) under uncultured bacterium. RNAcentral describes it as "bacterial SSU rRNA". It matches the Rfam family "Bacterial small subunit ribosomal RNA", at positions 62 to 990 of the family's 1533-position model. The record is from RNAcentral.
UCGACGAGAGAAUGCUAGCUUGCUAAUAAUUCUCUAGUGGCGCACGGGUGAGUAACACGUGAGUAACCUGCCCCCGAGAGCGGGAUAGCCCUGGGAAACUGGGAUUAAUACCGCAUAGUAUCGAAAGAUUAAAGCAGCAAUGCGCUUGGGGAUGGGCUCGCGGCCUAUUAGUUAGUUGGUGAGGUAACGGCUCACCAAGGCGAUGACGGGUAGCCGGUCUGAGAGGAUGUCCGGCCACACUGGAACUGAGACACGGUCCAGACACCUACGGGUGGCAGCAGUCGAGAAUCAUUCACAAUGGGGGAAACCCUGAUGGUGCGACGCCGCGUGGGGGAAUGAAGGUCUUCGGAUUGUAAACCCCUGUCAUGUGGGAGCAAAUUAAAAAGAUAGUACCACAAGAGGAAGAGACGGCUAACUCUGUGCCAGCAGCCGCGGUAAUACAGAGGUCUCAAGCGUUGUUCGGAAUCACUGGGCGUAAAGCGUGCGUAGGCUGUUUCGUAAGUCGUGUGUGAAAGGCGCGGGCUCAACCCGCGGACGGCACAUGAUACUGCGAGACUAGAGUAAUGGAGGGGGAACCGGAAUUCUCGGUGUAGCAGUGAAAUGCGUAGAUAUCGAGAGGAACACUCGUGGCGAAGGCGGGUUCCUGGACAUUAACUGACGCUGAGGCACGAAGGCCAGGGGAGCGAAAGGGAUUAGAUACCCCUGUAGUCCUGGCAGUAAACGGUGCACGCUUGGUGUGCGGGGAAUCGACCCCCUGCGUGCCGGAGCUAACGCGUUAAGCGUGCCGCCUGGGGAGUACGGUCGCAAGAUUAAAACUCAAAGAAAUUGACGGGGACCCGCACAAGCGGUGGAGUAUGUGGCUUAAUUCGAUGNCACGCGAAGAACCUUACCUGGGCUNGACAUGUA